Molecule: long non-coding RNA, 521 nt
Organism: Lucilia cuprina (Australian sheep blowfly)
Lineage: Eukaryota; Metazoa; Arthropoda; Insecta; Diptera; Calliphoridae
Exons: 5
Source: RefSeq, a predicted model, not a curated record
UUGUGGGUUUUACUUUAAACAAAAAGCAAAUUUCUUAAUUAUUUUUCAUUAAAAAAGAAAAUUAGUGAUUUUAAUUAACAAUUACUUGAGCAACGAGUACAACAAAAUUUUGAAAAUUAAAGAGAGUGAUUUAAGAGGAGUGUUGGUGGUUAAUUGUUUACUGCACAUUGUGAUUAUUUUCAUAGAAAAUUUUGCAGCGUUUUUUCUAAAAGCACCAAAUAUCUUCUGAAUAUUUAAGAUUUUCACCAAACAUUUGCAUCAACAUUUGGAAAACUAAACAAAAUUAGCUGAAAAUUGAAUUUAUUAUUAUAAAAAAGUAAGUUUAUCACAAAUUUCCUUCAUCUAUUCUUGUAAGUAAAAUAAUUUAUACGUAUUCUAACUUGUACACUUAACCAAUUAAUUCCCUGCUUCCUCGCAUGAUGUGCACAAUUAUCCUUGUUAUUGUGCAAAUGUUAAAGGAAUAUUUAUAGAAUGUUCUUCAAAUCCAUUAACGUUAAAUACUUUACAUUAUAUUUAUUAUU